GAUGAACGCUGGCGGUAUGCUUAACACAUGCAAGUCGAACGGACUCUUCGGAGUUAGUGGCAGACGGGUGAGUAACGCGUGAGAAUCUGGCUUUGGGUUCGGGACAACCACUGGAAACGGUGGCUAAUACCGGAUGUGCCGAGAGGUAAAAGAGAAAUUGCCUGAAGAUGAGCUCGCGUCUGAUUAGCUAGUUGGUGAGGUAAAGGCUCACCAAGGCAGCGAUCAGUAGCUGGUCUGAGAGGAUGACCAGCCACACUGGGACUGAGACACGGCCCAGACUCCUACGGGAGGCAGCAGUGGGGAAUUUUCCGCAAUGGGCGAAAGCCUGACGGAGCAAUACCGCGUGAGGGAAGAAGGCUCUUGGGUUGUAAACCUCUUUUCUUAGGGAAGAACAAAAUGACGGUACCUAAGGAAUCAGCAUCGGCUAACUCCGUG
Molecule: ribosomal RNA, 435 nt
Filed under: uncultured bacterium
Lineage: Bacteria
Description: partial 16S ribosomal RNA
Rfam family: Bacterial small subunit ribosomal RNA
Source: RNAcentral